RNAcentral lists this ribosomal RNA (498 nucleotides) under uncultured bacterium. RNAcentral describes it as "bacterial SSU rRNA". It matches the Rfam family "Bacterial small subunit ribosomal RNA", at positions 791 to 1294 of the family's 1533-position model. The record is from RNAcentral.
UAGUCCACGCCGUAAACGAUGAUUACUGGUUGUAGGCGAUACAUUGUCUGUGACUGAGCGAAAGUAUUAAGUAAUCCACCUGGGGAGUACGUCGGCAACGAUGAAACUCAAAGGAAUUGACGGGGGCCCGCACAAGCGGAGGAACAUGUGGUUUAAUUCGAUGAUACGCGAGGAACCUUACCUGGACUUAAAUGUAGAUUGCAUAGAGUGGAGACAUUCUUUUCUUCGGACUAUCUACAAGGUGCUGCAUGGUUGUCGUCAGCUCGUGCCGUGAGGUGUCGGGUUAAGUCCCAUAACGAGCGCAACCCCUAUCGUUAAUUGCUAGCAGGUAAUGCUGAGAACUCUAGCGAGACUGCCACCGUAAGGUGUGAGGAAGGUGGGGAUGACGUCAAAUCAGCACGGCCCUUACGUCCUGGGCUUCACACGUGCUACAAUGGAUGGUACAAUGAGCAGCCACUUAGCAAUAAGGAGCAAAUCUCAAAAAGCCAUUCUCAGUUC